UACGUAGGGGGCAAGCGUUGUCCGGAUUUAUUGGGCGUAAAGAGCGUGUAGGCGGCCAGACAGGUCCGUUGUGAAAACUCGGAGCUCAACCUCGAGACGCCGAUGGAAACCGUCUGGCUAGAGUCCGGAAGAGGAGAGUGGAAUUCCUGGUGUAGCGGUGAAAUGCGCAGAUAUCAGGAAGAACACCCGUGGCUAAGGCGGCUCUCUAGUACGGUACUGACGCUGAGACGCGAAAGCGUGGGGAGCGAACAGG
This 253-nucleotide ribosomal RNA is filed under the name uncultured bacterium. RNAcentral describes it as "partial 16S ribosomal RNA". It matches the Rfam family "Bacterial small subunit ribosomal RNA", at positions 524 to 776 of the family's 1533-position model. The record is from RNAcentral.